CCUGGGCUAUUAGCUCAGGUGGUUAGAGCGCACCCCUGAUAAGGGUGAGGUCCCUGGUUCAAGUCCAGGAUGGCCCAUUCGGUGUUGGGGGUUUAGCUCAGUUGGUAGAGCGCCUGCUUUGCAAGCAGGAUGUCAGGAGUUCGAGUCUCCUAACCUCCACUGACCGAACUGUAUCCCCAUCUCCAAAAGGAAUUGGAGUAUGAGUUCGAUUGGAGUGUGAUUUUAGACGUGUCCGCUGGAUGACCCCAGCUUCCUGUCAUUCCAAAUGAAAGCAAAGAGAGUUUUGCUUGUUGUGUUUGGUUGAUAAGAUGCUGGGCUCAAGUCAAAUGAUCAAGCAAUUGAUGGUUUGAUUUGAAGUUCUAGCAGAACCUUGACAACUGCAUAGGUAAGUCUGGAAAGAAUAAAGCAUCCCAUGGAUGAUGCGAUGACUCUAGAUGAUGAUCCGAAAGGAUAAUUAAAAGGAGUGAUUGCGAAUUCUAUAGAGCAAGAGCCGAGACUCCAUCACGUUCUUUUGAUUGUGUCGAGCAAUCAAGAGUUUGAUUCUUGAUUCAGCAAUGAAUCAGGGAAAAUCUGUUUCAACGACAGCAAGCGUGUUGGAGAUUAUAUGGUCAAGCUACAAAGAGCUCACGGCGGAUACCUUGGCACACAGAGGCGAUGAA
RNAcentral lists this transfer RNA (659 nucleotides) under uncultured cyanobacterium. RNAcentral's name for it is "partial contains 16S-23S ribosomal RNA intergenic spacer and 23S ribosomal RNA". The stretch from base 87 to 159 matches the Rfam family "tRNA". Lineage: Bacteria; Bacillati; Cyanobacteriota. The record is from RNAcentral.